This 695-nucleotide long non-coding RNA is filed under the name Fukomys damarensis (Damara mole-rat). Its description in RNAcentral is "lncRNA (ENSFDAG00000025135.1)". The record is from RNAcentral. Lineage: Eukaryota; Metazoa; Chordata; Mammalia; Rodentia; Bathyergidae.
GCCCUGAGAGGGAGAUUGAGCCUGAGAGAGGAGAAGGAGUUUCUUCUUCUUCGAAAACCCUCGUCUACGACUCCUACCCCCUCACCCAUCCACUCGCCUCCCUCCCGAGCCCCCUCCACCCUCCUUCUCUUUGGCCGUGAGAGGAAGAGAGAAAGAGACCAAAAGCCUCUUAGCAACACAGACCUUUUGCUGCUUCUGCUGCUGCUGCUGCUGCUGCUGUUGCUGCUGCUGCUGCUGCUGUUGCUGCUGUUGCUGCUGCUGCUGCUGCUGCUGUUGCUGUUGCUGCUGUUGCUGUUGCUGCUGCUGCUGUUGCUUGGCCCUGGCUGGAGACAUCUCACUACACCCAGGAGCAGCCACUUCCCCAGCUCUCCUCCUUCUCCUCCUCCUCCUCCUCCACUCCCCCCCUUUAUUACCCUUUGUGUCAUCCUCCACAGCUCCAGGGAAGGCACUCAAAAGUGGGGGGCAGGAAAGAUGAACAUUGGAGGCGACAAUUAAUACCUGUGUGAAGGAUAUAUUGAAGGCUUUGUGGUUUACAGACAAGAUCUGUAGAAAUUAGACACUCAAGGUAAAUUAAACUAUAGCCUCAUAAUUUUAUAUGAAUGAUUAAGUUUCCCUUAUUAUAAUUAGACUUGCUAUUUCCUUUUCAUCAUAGUUCUUAAGUGACCUCGUGACCGCAUUCCUUCAUAUUCAGGCAC